This 395-nucleotide ribosomal RNA is filed under the name uncultured bacterium. RNAcentral's name for it is "bacterial SSU rRNA". It matches the Rfam family "Bacterial small subunit ribosomal RNA", at positions 361 to 773 of the family's 1533-position model. The record is from RNAcentral.
AUAUUGGACACUGGGCGCAAGCCUGAUCCAGCCAUGCCGCGUGAGUGAUGAAGGCCCUAGGGUUGUAAAGCUCUUUCGCCAGGGACGAUAAUGACGGUACCUGGAUAAGAAGCCCCGGCUAACUUCGUGCGAGCAGCCGCGGUAAUACGAAGGGGGCUAGCGUUGUUCGGAAUUACUGGGCGUAAAGCGCAUGUAGGCGGAUAGUUAAGUCGGGGGUGAAAGCCCGAGGCUCAACCUCGGAACUGCCUUCGAUACUGACUAUCUUGAGUCCGGGAGAGGUGAGUGGAACUCCGAGUGUAGAGGUGAAAUUCGUAGAUAUUCGGAAGAACACCAGUGGCGAAGGCGGCUCACUGGCCCGGUACUGACGCUGAGAUGCGAAAGCGUGGGGAGCAAAC